UUUAAUACUAGGUGCACUCUCUUGGAGGCCAGAGCUAGGUCAGACUUAGUAACUUUCUUAUUAGUCACUAUUUAAUUUGUGUUUAUGGUGAAAAGCUUGUUGAGAUGAUCCUUACAGGUUCUCUGAGCAGAAACUCAUUGUACUGAUAUUUUAAAGGUAUUUUCUUACAGAGAAGGAAAAGUAAGAGAAACCUAAUACAAGUUAAGGUAUUGAAUAAUUACACCUAAACCUUGCUGCUUUGCUUUAUUUAAUGGAAGAUACAGAAUCAGAGUAAGUUAUAACUGUUUAUGCAAAGCUGAAGAUGAAGCCAUCUUCACAGGUAAAUGGCCAAAGUUUGACUGAUUUCACUGGCACCAAGUAGCAUUGAAAAUCUUUGUGUCUUUUGAAUUAUGUUUUUGUGAAAAGUGUCAGCUGAGAAACUCAAAAAUAAGUUAAGAAAAUUGCUCCAGGGCACAGUUUGGCAGAAUGUUCCCAUUCAUGUGAUGUUGCAGUGUUCAAAUAGAUGCGUUGGUGUAUCACUCAGUCUUUCUUCCACUUACUUGAAGAUCCUUGUUUCAUCUUGUAAAUGAUGUUAAAAUCAAGUGCUUCUUGUUUUGGAGCUUUGUAUGAAGCAACCUCCAUAAGUUGUUAUAUAUAUAAUGUUAUCAAGGUCAUACAUGUUUGCCUUGGCAUUCCUGUUGUUCCUUGUGCUGUCUGAGCUGCCAGUCAUGGGAAGUGGUGACUGCAACUGUGCAUCUGCCUUGCUCUGCCUCCCUCUGCCCCCUUGCUCACAUUGCAUGGCCCUUCCUUUACACACAACUACAUUUUGUGAGGAACUCAUCUCAAGGAUGCACUUCCUAAUGCAGAUGAUGUUUGUGGAAGCACACAUGCCUUCAACUCAUGGCUGUUUGAAGCCAGAGUAUCAAUUGUACUCCUUGCAGAGCUACAGUCAUGACCAGUUAUGGAAAAAUGUUGAUUGUGUCAUGAAAGUGGAAGCACAUCAAUAACGCAUUAUUACUGUGAAGACAAUGGAGGUCUGGGACUAGUUUCAGGAAUUCCUGUAGCAUUUGUAGCAAAUGUGUAUUACCAGUCUCUAACAUUUACUGCAAAUGGAAUUAAUUAAUAUUAGUGCUAUUUUACUUGUAACUUUUCUGAACUUCUUUAAAGUUAUUAGCUUUAUUUUAUAAAUGGUACACAAUUUUAAUUGCUCUGUAUGCUUUAAAAAAGGAAAGGGAUUAAUAAUUGAAUUUACCAAAUAGUUGUAAAUAAAUUUGAAAAUAAGGAGAGAAAAAAAAGAUUGGACCUUUCCACAUUGUUUUUACGAAGGUGACUAUGGAUCUAGAAAUGUGUACUGAAGAAAUAGUCAUAGAAGUGACAUUAGCUGUACAUUUACUUCUGCACUACUUGGAAUUAGAGUACUUCAGAGUAUUCUAACAGCAUGUGUGCUUUGUGUGUGGCUACAAUCUCUGUUGAUGUAUUACACAUGUUAGAAAUUAAAAAGUGAUUUUAGCUACAAUAAGGUUGAAAUAAGAACUUGCAUCCUUUGAUUGCUACAAUAACAGAUUGAAAAGUAUUGUGUUACAGAAGUUAGCAUUUUAAUUUGUGGGCCUUUAGAUGUCUUUCCCUUCUUCUUAAAUGCUUCCUUUUAUAGAAGAGAUUUGGGAAUUGGAAGACAUGUUCAAAGUCUCUUAUUAUUACAUUUAGUUUUUUACUUGGUUGGUCUAGAUUCUGGAACAAUACUAAAGAGGGAUCUCUCCUCCAUGAGAGAAGGCAUCCCACACAUUUUAAGUGUGGUAGAUGAUGUUAUUACACAAUCAAUAAUGAUAUUCUUGCAUAAUUAGUAUUUAAAAAGACCCUCACUUCCAUAACAUCUGUUUUAGCUUCAUGGCAUAGUUUCUCUAUUCACCUAUAAAUCAGACCACCACACAAAGGAAUACCUAAGGCAGAGCUUCUGGUCUCUUCUUAAGUUCUGUGCUGCUAAUCUUCCUUUGUCUUUUAUAUUUACAGAAUGUCUCAUGGUCUUGAAAGUGUCCAUUUUUCUGUGCCUGGUCUUAAUGAGACUUAAUUUCCAGAGUCUGAAAGUUCAUUGCUUUCCAAAACUCUCUAAUUUAUAGCUGUCAAAUAUUGGUUUUGUCCAGAAUGAUCGACCUUUCGAAUAUUUAGGCUGUAACUACUAAUGAAAAAUGUAAUUUUUGUACAGAACCGUUAAUCUGGAUGCAGAGGUGCACAUUCUUACCAGGAAUAAAGUCAACAUAAAAUUAUGUGCCAAAUUCAGUUUUUGUAGGUCCCACAGCUUCAGUGGACUUUGGUUCCUUUACAAAUAAAUUUAUCCAUUGUAACCAACUCUGCUCUUUUAAGUGUCAGUUCAGUUCUUGUUAACUUCCAGAAGGCUUUAAAAAUCUGUUGGAUGUCUUAAAUUGAGUAUAACAAGAAGAGAUAAAGAAAAAUAAUAAUAAUAGACAAUUUUCCAAUCUAGUGUUGUCUAAUUCCUUUUAUUCUCAAAUUUAUGCUUGUGUGAUUAUGCUGAUUUAAAUUAGCCAUCUUUGAACUUGGCUUCUCAAUGUUUGUCUGACUAUUUUUAUCUUCAAUUUCUUUCAUAAAUAUUAAAUAUGGACUACUGAACAGUGGGGUAACAUGAGAGAAAGGAAGGUUCAAUAUUUUUCUUGCAUAAAUUUUACACAUGCAAGAAACCACUACAGUCAUGUAAGGAAAGGUUCUGUAAGUGAUUUACAGAAGGAUUAUUGAGGGAUCGUCCUUUUAUAUUUUAAUUAAGGUUUAAAAGCAUUCCCUUCUCCCUUUGGGCUGUUCUUGUUGCUGGACUUCUUGCUGGAGCGGCUGUGCACAGUGACAGCCUAGUUAGUUGCUAAGAGGCACAUUUUCAAAGUGACAUGUGGAACUGCAGUCUCUGGAGUCCCGCUUACACUCCAGUGGCCCAAACACAAUGCUUUGAAAAUCCAGCCCUAAGAAGAGGGAGGAGGAGCAACUCUUCAGAAGUAGCAUGCUUCAAGGGGAAGAACAUGAAUUUAGAUAUUGACAUGACUCUUAAGUUAACUUAAUUCUAGAUUUCAUUCUCCAGAAGGAUUUUACUCACUCUUCUAUGGGCAGUGAGGUGUUACACUGUUGUUAGGACCUUGUAAGGAUUUUUCUUUUUGUAGGUUCAUCUUUAGCUAGCUGAUAGUAAAAUCACAAGGUUCUCUUAAAUUGUAGCACACGUGCUGAUGUGAACAUUUUUAAAAGAGGAAAUGGAACCUCCAAAAAUCCAAAUGUCUCAUUUGUUGGGAUUGUCUCAUAAUGGGGCAUGUUGGAGACAUCAUGCUGUGAUAAAAAAGGGAAAUCAUGAAAGAGUAAUGAUAGUCAUCUGGAUGUGCCAGAGCAACCAAAAUUUUUUUGUUCUAGCUCUUUAGGAAACUUAAUAAAUUUUAAUAGUGAAGUACAUAGUUUAGUACAAUUUAUUUUGAGAAACCUCUGCUCUAUAUUUGUCUAACCUUCAUUUCAUUAAGAAAAGUGCAUGAUUCCACAGCUUAGAGGGUGGUUCUGUGGAAUGAGAAUGGAUAAAGGAGGUUUAUGUCAGAGUUGUUUGGGUUUUUUUGUAGAUACAUCUCUAUAAAACAUAAUUUUGUUUCUAGUAGGAAUUAAAGUGCCACAAAUAACUGUAAUCAUCUUAUGCAGUAUUAGGUAAAAACUAAUCUCCAUAGGUUUUUCUAAAAUUCGGAUAAACCCAAUCUGCAGUCGGUGACGUAUUUCCUGCGGACUUUGAAACCAUGCCUUGUGUUUUUUUCAUGCUUGCGUAACUUUGCCUGAAUUUUAAAAUGCCAUAUUUCUAAUUAAAAUAUGCAUCACUUUUUUUUUUUUAAUGGUAUUGUACCAUUUUUGCAGAACAGUGCAGAUGUUCUGAAACUGCUCAUCUUAAAAAUUGCUGUAGCAAACAUUACUGUUACAGAAUUUACUCAUCUGUGUCACAGCUGGUAUGUAGAGACUUAGAAUACUGUGGGCUGGUUUUUUUAGACUCUUUUCCUCAUCCAGCUCACUUUUAAAAAAGAUUGCUAUAACAAGGUUUAUUUAAAAGCAUGAUCGUGUCUUUUAAACCAAGUCAGAAAGGAAGCCAGAUGAUUUUUCUGCAAUCUCAUAUUACUCUUCUGUUAAAAGAUUGUAUAAAUGAAGGGGAAAUAUAACUCAAUAGUGUUACAUUAGUCUCCAAAAUUCCCGAGAUCUAGUUAAAUCUUGCAUUCUUACAUGUUACUGGAAGAUGCCUAGGACAGAUAAAAUAUAUAAAGAGGACAUUUCUGAGAUCCAAAGCAAGUUACCCUUUGGUUUAAUUAUUUUAGGACAUAUAUAUCUAUUAAAAAUAGCAUAUUCCUUGAGAAAUACAAGUAUUUAUUAUAGCUAGCAUGAAGCAAGCCAAGAGCUUGAUUUCCUAUGGAUUUGUCUUAGUUUGAUUUACCUCGGUGUCUACAAAGUUGUGAGCUGGGAAUGACAUUUCUCAUGCACUUAGGGCCAUGGUUAAAUUUCUGGAUAGUUUAGAUACGAAAAAACUGGAGAGGAACCUAUCAUAGAAGUAACGAUGGAAUGUUGGAACAUGUCACUGUCACAAAAAGAAAACUCUAAAAAUGAAAAAUUAGGAAGAUUUUGAUAGUCAUAGCCAGGCAUGUCAACUAAGAAUAAUGAUGAAAAAUGGCCUCCACAUUAUAUAGUCUUUAAUGCUGAGAGGAAUAAUGAUACUGUUGAUGACCAUAUAGGGGGAAGAAGAAAAUAUAGGAGAUUAGUGGUAAGGCAAGGAAUUUGUUUAGGCAUGUUGUGUUUAAGGAGAAAGUUUUUAAUAAAAUUUGAGGUAAGAGGGAAGGAGGUGGGUCAGGACUCAGGAAUAGAUGUAUGAAAAACAGGAUACAAGAUGAGAAAAGCAGACCUGCAUCAUAGACCUGGGCUGGAGACAGGGUCUGUACCAAAGUAGUGUGAAGACCAGUUAGAGAGGCCAGAAAAUGUAAAAAUGGAGUGCUGGUCAUACAUGGUAGUGCUGAGAUUUGCACAAAAGGCAUAAGGUAUUAAAUACUGAAGGUUGUUACUGUCUGCUCCUGUGGUCUGUCUUUAAGAAACACUGCUAUCAUAUUUUCAGGCUUUUCUUCACAACCACCAAGACCUCUUUUGUACUUUUUUCUUUGAUCAGACAUUUAACAUUCAUAGCACCACAGAAAAAAGGCAAUGUCCAAUUCCACAAGGUUCCUGAUAAAGCUGCUAGUAUUGAGGAAAUCCAAAUGGAGAACUUGUUUGACAGUCAUCUUUGAGGUGAGGCGAUGGUGACUGUCACUACUACCCAUCUUUCUUAGUCCCUAGGAGGAAACAUGUUUCAAUACUCAGUGCCGUGUCAGUGUUUUAGGGACCAGAAGGACAUUAAAUGAAUUGCUGUGCUGGGAAAUUUUUCAACAGGAAAGCACAACUGGGUGUUGCCUAUUCAUACUUGCCAAGCUUGCUCUCAGUAGAUGUUUUCAUCCCACUCGCGUAUUCUGUGUGCUCAACUACUUGCAGUGCUCCUGGAUGUAAGGUCACUUGUCUCCUAUGUCAUGUCUCUCUAGACUUACUCUCAGUGAGCUGGUUUCUGGUCAUGUCAGGCUGUUUCACCCACAGUAACAGCACUGGAUUCCUCAGGUGUUAGUCCAGUGUAGCCCAGGGACAUUAAGCAAUCCUCUUGCUGUGGGCCUGCAUCCACUGUUCAUGAAGUCAAAGAAUAAAACCCCUGUUGAUUUUGCUUGCUUGGAAUCUUGUGUUGGGGUGAUUCUCUGAGAUUUAUAUUCAGACCUUCCCUGACUGAGAAAUACAUUCUUCUAAAGCUGUAUCUAAAAAUAUUGAAUCCCUCCCUGACUAUUAAAAAUAUCGAGGAACAAAAGAAAUGUGCAAAACCUCUUCAGUGCUGUCACAUUUGAGAGAUGCUCAAAUGACAUCUCUGACAAUGGGGAAGCCUGUUAUUACUCUGCAGAGUCCUACUUUCCCAAACUGGCAUCUUUCUUUGUUGCAGCAUAAAUUACAGCAGAACUGAAAUUUAAAUUCAAGGGCAGCUUUUGUUUUGCCUGAAGACAGCUGCAGCUGCUUUUAUUCUUGAAGUCCAAUUCUCUUAGUAAGCAAAUUCUGUGCUUUCUCUCAAAAGAGCUAAAGGUAGUGCUUGAUCUUUGGGAUGGUUUGAAGCUGUGUGAUUUUUCUUUUUUUAUGAGCUGCGGGCUGGAUUACAGCCAGCUGGAGGAACUAACCCUUGCAAUUCUCCAGUGAAAGUCUGGUCACAAGGAGUGGACCACUUGUUAAAAAGAAAGGGAAAAAAAGGUGGAUCUGUUGUAAGUGGUUUCUAGUGGAUUUUGGCCCACUGCUGGUUUUGCUUCCAUGGCAAUGCAGUUUCUCCUGCGUUAUUAUAAUUUCUCUCAAUCUCUUAAAAUUCCUCCCAACCCAUGGUGCCUGUGGAUCCUUUAGAGGAAAUAAGGCUUCUUUGCUUCUAUCAGGUUGCAUUGACAGUGGGAAGAGGGUCCAAAUUUAGCUGGUGAGAGCUGACAGAUGGAUGCAUGUGGAGAAAUAAGAUGGACAGACAUGCGUUGUUAUAGAGGAAUUGGAGUGAAGAUAGCCAGAGAGGGAGUUUCACAGACCGACAGAAUGGGUCAGGCUGGAAUGGACCGCUGGUAUUCCAAGUGGAGAUGAGCUAGUCCAACCUCCUUGCCUAAUCAGGGUUCCCUAGAGCACUUCCCUUAGAGUUGUGUUCAGAUGGCUUUUGCAUUUCUCCAGGGGAGGAGACCCACAGCCUCUCUGGGCAGCCUGUGUGUUUCAUUGAAGUCUGAAAUGUUACCCAGUUUUUCUUAGUUGUGUCUGUGAUGGGGGAGAUGAAAUAUUUCUCGGAAUUGCUUUAGUCUUUGGGACUUACUGGAUGUUAAUAUGAUGUUCUUCCUGGUUAGAGAUGAGGAGCAAAGAGAGCCAGGGCAUGGUGCUUCCUGUUCUUGCUGGCCAGCCUGGUGAUGUGAAGCUGGCCAGCUUCUUAAUAUUAAAGCCGUUUCCCACCUUGAGGGAAGAUGUGUGCAAAGAUGAGGGAAUCUUGUGUAGGUACCCUAAAUCAGUUUUUACUUGAAAGAAUUUAAAUAAUAAAAGCUUGUGAAUUAUCAGGAAAGACCUCAACCCAAAACCAAAGCUCUGCUAUCUCUUGCAUUUAUGGGAGUGAAUGCUGAUGAACUGUGAUAAGUAGGAGAUCCCAGCCCAGGUCUGUGUCUGGAUUCUCAGCCUAUCUAAGUACAAGAAGAAACUGAUUACAGCACGGAUACAACCUGGGUAAUACAUAAUCACUUGUAAUCCUGAUGCAACCCUCUGCUUUUGCUGCCUUUUAACCCACGAAUGAUAACAUUUACGUCUCAGACAAGGAAUUUGGAACCUUUGGGGACUUUUGUGAUUAGAAAUGCAAAAGCUAUUAGAAAUAAAUCAUUUUUAAUAUGAGCUAUGUGAUAAAUGUUGAGGUUGUUGGUUUUCAAUAUCCAGCAAGUAAUAAAAGCUGGUUUUUGUUUCUGUAGGGUUUGGUUUUUUGGUGUUUUUCUUUUUUUUUUUUUUAAGUGCAUCUUGGCCAUGUGGAUUCUGUGUAUACUUAGAAUUAAUAAAAUGCAGUUGCAGCAGCUGUUACUGUGUGGCUGCUGUCCCAAUGUGAAGCUUUUCUUUCUCUUUGCAUUAAAUAGGGAUAGCCCUUUAUUGUUGGCUUGUGAUGAGAACUAGAGACUAAUUAUUAAGAGAUUCAUUUAGAUAAUUUGGUUUUAUUUUGAAUAAUGCAGUUUCCUUUUUCAGACUGACAGAAUAUAAAAGAACAAUGGGAUAGAUGAUUUGCUUUUGGUGUUAAAGAAAGAAAGACUGGAUUUAUAUCUUGCUAAUGUAGUUUCUACAUCUACUAAUAAAAUGGAAGAAAAUAAUCUGGAGCAAGCUGUUCCAUCUCUAAUCCCAGUGUUUAUUUUUGUCUUUGAAAUAGCAGAGCUGUUCUCCCUUGCUAAUGUUUUGGUCUGCAGAGUUAUUUAGGCCAGACUGUGAUGUGACUUUUGUUCAGUGACUUUAACUUUUUAAGAAAUUGCAUGACAAUUUUAAAAUCAAAGAAACAUUGCAACCUUGAAGAGUGUUACACCUUAUGUUUCUCAAAGCUGUUAUAAAUAAGCCAAGUUUAUUGCCUAGUGCCACAACUGUGGAUCUUUUGGAAUCUCAGUAGUCUUUUUACUUAACCCUGUGCUUCCAGUGUGUUGUGGGGGUCAGUGAAAAAUACUGAUGAGAGUGAUUUAAGUGCAGUUGGGAUUGAGCAUUGAACAGUAAGAUGCAUCAAAGUAAACUACUUAAUCUUUGAUACACAUACCUGUAUAUAUUUGGGAAUAUCUAUGUCUACAUACAGAGUACUUAUAUGAAUUCAUAUAUACAUAUUGUGGCAGGUAACCGUGGAUAUUGUAUUUAUCUCAAACUUCUGCUGUAGUUUGCUCAGGUCUUAUUCUGUGGUUAGGAAUUCUGUUGAGUAUUAAAGUGUGUCUUGACAAGAAAUGCUGCAGACUGUGUUGCUCAUUCCUGUCGUAUUUGAUUCUGUUGUGAGGUCUGUUUUCUGUGUUUGUGUUCUGUCACCCUCAUCUGCCUCUGAGAUAAUUAGGUGCUCUUUGCAAAGAAGACUGAGUUUAUGUCUUUAAUUUGUUCUUUCCUGUCUUUACUUUGUAAUCAUAGUUGUGUGGCUUUGAAUAUCUGCUGAUACAGGUGAUUAAGGCACCACUGCAUAAAACCCCAGGCUUUAGAAAUAGAAAAUCAUUUUUAUAAUAAUUGUCAUUACAUGUUGUUAUGUUAUUUUGUGUUAGGCAGAAUGUUUGGAAAUAGCACAUCCUAUGUGAGAACAAGAAAAUUAGGUAAGUGAUGAGAAGGCAGUGUUAUAACGAGCCAGUUUUGGUGAACUGAGUUCAAUUCCUGUGCAUACACACAGUGUGAUAAUUCUUACUUAUUUGACCUCAAACUUGUUUUCUUCAAAAAUCCUUCUUCAUUCAGUGUACAGAAGGGGCAGGACUCAGGUCAUGAGCAAGUAUUUAAUUCAUUGCUUUCCUAUCAUUCUUUACUCUGUGAGAGGUGCUACAGAGGUGCUACAGAAGCCCUGAGAAAUAAAAUAAAAUAUCUUCCUCUUUUCGAGGCCUGAUUGGAGACACUUCUGACCUGAUACAUCACCACAUGCACCACUUCUUAUGUCUGACCACAGCUCCAGCUGCAACAGGGAGUGUCACCAUUCCAGCAAGACUGUCUCAGUGUCUCAUUUUGGGUACUUAAAACAUGAGGAUCAUCUGAUGUGUGAUCAUGUUUGAAAACUACUGUGUAUGUGACUUUCUGACCUCAGUGAGACUAUCAGUAGGAGUCAGGGGUAGGAUUUAAUUCCCAGGGUGGCAUUUAAUGCUCUUAAGCUAAAGAACCCUCAAGAAAUCUUCUUAUUGCUCUCAGCCUUUCAGCUCCUCUGAUAAAUGAUGCAAAGUUUGCUCAGGCAGCUUUCCCAGAGCAGGCCCACUCUGUAUACUAAAUCAAGUGUCAGAGCAGAGGGACAAGUGAUAUGUGACCAUACGCCUAAAGUGUGACACUUUCUAACUUUGGAAGUACCUUGGCAACCUUAUCAGGAGAUUUUGGAGUUAAUUUUUCAUAGGAAUUUCCUAGACUUUAAGGAUAGUAAAGACAGCUUCUCUUCACAGUUUCCAUUGUGUGAUGGUAUUAAUAACACCCAUGUUUUAAAGUAAGGUCAAAACUGUUUGACACUUCCACAUGAGACUUCAUUGCCUGAUCUUUUAGAGAUGCUGAUGCUACUUGAAAGUGCUGCUUCCUUUCUCUUAGAUCUGAUUUUUAUCCCAAUAGUUAGAUGGUUUAGAUGAACUAGAUGAUUUCUACUACAAAACAAAUGGAGUAUCUUUCUAAACAGAUAGUAAUUAGAUAGCAGGAGAAAUCCACCAUAAUUGCACUGAGACAGAGGGGUAGAUACAGGACUGAAAUAUUUAAUGGCUAUUUUCUCCCAAAUGUUGCAUUUUCUUGAAUUGUUUUUUAUCUUCAGUGUUGAACUGAACUGUAACUUCAUUCUUUUUCUUCCUUAACCUCUCAAGCCAAAAGGCUGUUCUGUUUUUAUUCUCGUUAUCAUUUCAUACCCAGCCUGCCUUUUGAGGAUUUAAAAGUAAGUUUUGUUGUGGUAGACUGCCUUUCUCACAUUUGUUUAGUUGUUUUUAACAUGUAGCAAUUAAUUUAUGUUUUAAGUUUUGUAAAUGCAAGGUGGAAGACUAUGAACACAGUUUGAGAAAAGUAUCUUUGUACUCUUUUAAAAGUUGAAGUAGCCUAAACCUUCCUCUAAGUAAAGUUUAGAGUGACAUCUUGUGGUUACACUGAUUUCAGAAGCAUAUUGUUGGCAUUUUUUUAUUUUGUCCACAGUAAGUGUGGUGUUUUCUGUUUCAAAAUGUUCUGGAUUGCUCACCACAAAUCUAUAUUGAUUUCCAUUGAGGCUUUUGGGAGAUCAGAGAAAACAUUGCUAUGUGUCAGGGCCUUGUAAGUAUCGUUCAUCUUUUACUGCAUAAAAUUUAUCCCGUGUGCCUGUGAGUUUCCAGUGUUUUGAACUCCAAGAUGUUUUAAUGCUCUUCCAGCCAUUUGGAAUUUCUCAAGAAGUUUCAAUUAGCCAAAAUAAUGCCAAAGCAAGUGGGAGCACAACAUCUCUCAGCAACAUCUGUUUGUGCCAGUUCAUUAGCUGUCCAAAGGUUUACUUAGGUUUAGGUGAAGAUAAAUAUGUCCAGGAAGCUGGCAUGGAGGCCAAGCUCAUUUCAGAUCCAUACUGCAGUAGUGUGUAUGUGUGCUUCCUAUGGAUCAGCCUCCAAGGUGUUGGGUGGUCUAAAUGCACCACCACCAAACCAUAUCCAAAUGCCUAGAAUGUGCUCAUACUGCAGUUUUGUGUGGUUUAUCUUAAUGAAAUACAAACCUUUUCAAUGCCAGGUGGAGAUAUAGAGUAAUUCUGUGCCAGAAGCUUAAAGGACCUGGUGAAAUGUGAGAUAUGCUUUCACUUUUGGGAAGCUCUCUGCAGAGAUGCAGGAAUAGUGCCCCUGCAGAAGCUUUUGGUUGGGGCCAGCAAUGUAUUGCCUGGUUCAGUCUCUCAAAUUAACCAUGCAAAGGUCUCUUCCCGUCCCUCAACAUUGAAGAGGAGAAAGAUGGUGAUAAUCUGCUAGGUCAAAUUUUAACUAUAUAAAAUGUUGAUGUUACCGUGGAGCCCAUCUGGCAAAUUGAAUACCAAUUGUAAAAUUAACUGUUCAAUAAAAGGCACUUGACCUAUCUAAGAAAUAAAUUCUGUUUAGGAGAAUGAAUUCAUUAAUGCAUCUCAAAUGAAAAGUCUCUCUAGCACUGCUCCAUGGCACAUCACUCAUAACAGGUGGCCCCAGGUCUGCUGUCAAGUCUUUUGAUGUGAGAGGCUGGAUUUAGGAAAGGAUUCUGUGUUUGUGGAACUCAGGUUUUUGUUGGAGCUACUUUGGUCAUGUGAGGAUUCCAGCACUGAUUGAUGUGAUGUGCUGAGAAUGUCAAGGAUUUUUAGUUAUGUGGUAAAGCACACAAGGAGCAUAAAAUCCAAGAAGCCCAGAUCAGUGAUCCUAAAAGAGCCAUCUGGUGUCCUCAUUUAUUAAUUUGAUGAAAAACAAAGAUGUGACGUUUUCAAUUAAGAUGAAUGUUUGGCUGCCCUGCCAGAAUUGGUUUUGGUGGAUAAGUACAUACAAGUUAAGCUGUUAAUAUAAUCCUAAUACUGAGACUGGAAGUGCUGAUGUAGAUUGGGUGUAAAACAGAGCAAGUCAUUUGGAGGGCCUCUGAGUGGGCUAGCCUGUAAAAAUUAUGCUUGAAGUACACAAAGUGUGUUUAAAUGACAUAUUUACAGGGAUAAUUCCAGAGAUUUCCUUGGCAAAGUGCCUGCACCCAUUCCAACAGAGACUAUUUAAAUAGAAAAGAAAUUUGUAGAUGGUUAGGUAUCAAACAAAUGCUGAUUUUUUUAAAAUGCCUUCUCCUUUAGUCACAGAAAGGAAUGACUGGUGAUGAUGUUUCAUGGGAAAAGAAAGCUGUCUGCUCUUUCUGUUUCAUUUCUGUUGCACAGACAGCCAUACCCUUGUUGCCCUUUUUGAAUGGCUGCUUGUUGGAUUUUGUCCUGUUAUGAAUCGUAAUUUUCUCUAAUUUUUGUCUGCCCAAGAAAGAAUUUGGCUCUCCAUGCUGAGACAGAUGGAUAUUGAGUAGGUUUUGCAAUGGGAGACUGUAAAGAGGUUUCCUCAUAAUUCAGGACAUGAGGCUGAGAUGACACUGUGCAAAUCACAGGAAUUUUUUUCCAAAUUGUGACUUCCAUGUGGUGGAUUCCUUGCACUGGCAGCAGAUAAUCCAUUGAAGCCACCAAAAAAAUCAGGCAGAAACCCUGUGCCAGCUGAUGACCCAUGCUGCUGAGUGUGGUACCCUCUCCUGGGUGGGGUGUGUUGGAAAGGAGGGCUCAUCAGUUAGACAGUCUUUGGGUGGGGGAAUAGCUGUUUGAGGGCUUAAUCAUUGAAUCCUCUGAAAUCUAAACAGCUACUCAGCCUCUCUCAGCAGCAUAAAGCCAAAAUAUUACUGAGCUGUGAUCACUUAAGUCACCUCUUUCAUUUUUAUCGGAAUUAAAAGAAGAUUCUAGCAAUUCUGGCCCUGAUUAUGUGCCAGAGUUCCCCUCGCUACAGUUCAGAGCUGACAUGCUGCCUGCAAAGUUCUCCAGUAUUAUUAAAAGCUACAGCAAAUUUAAAGUGGAAGUGACUGAAGAACAAAAUUACCUGCAGAGUUUGGGGGCUGUUACUUUAACUAAUUGCUAUCUACCUGUGUAAAUCCCUCUGGGCCACCUUUUGGAUUAAGUAUUCCUUACUUCUUCUCUAAACCUCUUGUUUAAUAUUCAUGUGUGUUGUUCAACAUCUGCUGCAUCCUAUCCAAGCAUAAAAAGGGAAGGCAUUUCAGUAGCAAACCAAGUGAUAGUUAAAUAUAUCCCUUACUUAUUUCAGAGUAGCAGUAUGGGAGUUAAUUAAUAUUUAUCAAUGCACUAAAGUGCUGGAAUGAGAAGCACUAUGGUUGUGCAAAGCAUAGCUUGUUUAUUUCAAGCUCUUCCUGGCCAUUUUGACCAUUUGCUAAAUACAUUUGAGAGCAAGCACACAAAGCUUGCUGAAAUGCUGACUUGAUUUCUUUUCUUUAAAUGGGAGCAGAAUCAGGACACACUUUGCAACAGUACAAUAAUUGCAGAAAUGUAGGUGCUCUACUUAACCUGAGAAAAAAGCUCUUCCCUUAAUUAGCUGCCUGGCAUUUUGCAAUAGAUGGUACUAUAAAAAGGUUGUAAUAACACAAUGCAAUAUAGAAAGACCUUGUUAGAUUUUAUUACAUUUUCUACUUGAUAAUUUAUUGCGAUUAGAAAGCCUAAUUCUUUUGCUUAUCUUGUAAUUAUAGCAAGGUGUUUAUAAGCAGGAGUUCCAGCUGCUUUUCUGUAUAGUCUUAUUAGAUGUGAAAUUAGAAAGCUUUUUAGACUGUUAAUUUUUGCUCAUUUCACAGGGUGCAUAAAGCAUUCUGAAAUGCAUGUGUUAUGUGAGGUCAGCAUUAUAUUUUGGUAAUUGCUGCAUGAGUUUCCAGCAAGGAUAAUGAAUCUCAUAGAUUUAGAUGGCCUUCAGAGGAAGGACUCUUUAUUUUGAAAACCACUUUUUAAAAAUCCUCCUCUGGAAUAGGGAGGUAAAUAAUUUUCCCCAUUCCAUCAAAAAGCAGUUUUAGGUGUCUGUGUGUACAGUGCUCCCUGUCCCUUGCAUCUGGCUACGGUUCAGUGUCUCCAUUUGACACCUAGGACUGUCUGCUGACAAUGUUCAUGUCUGAGUAACACAAAAGCCUCCUGAGGGGUCCCAUCCUUGUGUGUGGUGCCCAGCUGACCAUGGCUCUUCUGGGACUUUUUUAUGGAUUGCAAAACUCAGCUGAUCUCAACAAAAGCUUUAGUGACUGACCCAAGACCUCACCAGACACUUGUGACUGAACACAGAGCUUAACUAAGGAAUCCAAAGCUUACAUCAUAUCAUGAGAUCAUCCUGAUUUAGGCUGUCAGGCUCAACUUAUAAUGGAAAGCAUUGUCUGAUUUCAUUGUCUUGGAGAGAAUUGAGGCCAGUAAAGGGCCUAUUCUUAUUCAGUUUUGUUAUCUGCUGUGGAAGAUGAGAUAGGAUAUCUACCUAGAGCAAAAGUGGGCCACAAAAUGGCAGGCAGUAAUUAGAAAUCAGGACAUUUGCAAAUAGGAACAGAUAUUGAGCUAUUACUGGUGUUAAAGCUAUUAAUACUUUUGUGUCUCUGUAUGUUGCAAUAAAUUAUUAGUUUUAAAAAUCUGUUAAUUAUUGGAAAUUAUUUGUCUAACAGUUUUGACAAAUGCAUGUCUGUUGGAGGGUGGAACUGCCAUCUGUGAGACUUUUCACUUGCAGUCUUGCUUUGGGAGGUACUUCCUCAUAAAAUGAAAUGUGAGUGAUUAUGCUGGAACAUACCAGCUUAAUGAACUCUAAUGCAAUAAGGAUCAAUAUUUUCAUGAGAAUUCAAAAUCAAACCCAGAUAUUUUAUUCAUGUUCUACUAUACUUGCCAUUAUUCUGACCCUUUGUGAGUGAGAGUCCUCUGAUUUUAUUUGUUCCCAGUCCUUACUGCCUCUCUGGAGAGGAAUUUUAUAUAAGGGCAUGGAGUAAUAGGACAAGGAGAAAUGGCUUUUACUGAAAGAGGGCGUGUCGAACCACAGAGUACACUGAGUUGGAAUGGACCCAUCAGGGUCAUCGAGUCCAGCUCCUGACCCUGCACAGAACCAUCCCCGAGAGUUACAGCAUGUGCUUGACAGCAUUGUCCAAACGCUUCUUGAACUCUGUCAGGUUGAAGCUGUGAAUGCUUCCCUGGGGUGCCUGUUCCAGUGCCCAACCACCCUCUGGGUGAAGAGGUGUUUCCUAAUAUCCAACCUAAACCUCCCCUGACACAAGAGUAGGCCAGUCCUUCUGGUUCUGUCACUGGUCACCAGAGAAGAGAUCAGUGCCUGCCCCUCCUCUUCCCCUCACGAGGGUCACAGGCUGCAAUGAGGUCUCCCCUCAGUCUCCUCCAGCCUGAACAGACCAAGUGUCCCCAGCCGCUCCUCAUAAGGCUUCCUCUCAAGGCCCUUCAACAUCUUUGUUGCCCUCCUUUGGAUGCUUUCUAAUAGUUUAAUAUCUUCCUUAUAUUGUGGUGACCAAAAUGGCACAUAUUAUUCAAGGUUAGAUUAUAUAUAAGGAACAAGGUCUUUACUGUGAGGGUGGCGAAGCACUGAAAAAGGUUGCCCAGAGAAGUUUUGGAUGUCCCAUCCCUGGGAGUAUGCAUGGUUAGGCUGAAUGGGGCUUUCAGCACCUUGGUCUAAUGAAAGAUAGUUUUGCCCAUAGCAGUAGGUUUGGAUUAGAUGACCCUUAAAGUCCCUUCCAACCCAAACCAAUCUGUGAGCUGAGCUAGGAGCAGAGAAAAGCUUAGAUAAGUGUAACCAACACUUGUGCAUUAUUCACAGGCCCAAAGAAACUGAGAGUGAGAUUCAAUCCACAUAAUUUGUACCACAGAUGGGUUGGCUUUUAGAAUAUACCCCUAAAUAUAAGAGUAUAUCUCUUUAGGCAAUAGAAAGAGAUGGUGCCAUUGAAAGCAGGAGAUCCUGUUUGAGCUGAGAUGGCCUGGUUAGAUUGGCUGAAUUCUAAGAAUUCAGCCAAAUCAGAACAACAAAAAGAGCAAACAUGCAAGAAUAAUGAAAACAAUUGCUGCUUUAAAACAUGCUCUAAAAUUCUGUUUCUGGAUUGAGCUGGAUUUGUUUCUGAAAAAUCUUUGUUUUUCAGAACAGUCCUGCAGGAGAAGGAACCUUCUUAGUUUGGACAUUAUAUCUAGUUGUGCAAUGGAUUUUUUGGUACCAGUUUCAGUGUCAUUUACCUAAGGAGUCUGAGCUGGAGACAUACGAAGCACCAAGCCAAGAAAAUCUUUCCUGUGUGUGGUGCAAAUGUUGUGUGUCAGAGGGAAGGACAAGAUUGCUCAAAAGCUUUGUUAGUGAUUCCUGGUGAUUGAGUGAGGUGUAUGGGUGACAGCAUAAGAAUCCCAGUCGACACUCCACACAAAUUAAAAUAUAUACAUCUUUCAUUAACUGCUUGUCUAGGACUAUAACAGUUGCUAGAGUAACCUAAAGGCAGGACUGUAAAUAUUGGAUAAGUACAUCCAGUGCUUUAAUGAGAUGAAGUAACUGCCAGGGCUCUUGGGAAGGUAAGGGACAAGCACUCUUCAUUCAGCUUUGCAAAGUGUAUUGUUUAUCAUGUAGGGCUUUGUGGCUUGGGAAUUACUACCAAGGCCCAGUUUCCCAUUGGAGUGCCUUUGUGUUAUCUCUCGUGUCAUUCAUGACCUUUGCUGUCAAGAUAAUUUCUUCCUUUUAAGAUUUUGGUCGAAGGACAAAAUCAAACAAGUUAGUAAAUUUAUACAAGAGAUUGUGAAUUAGCUAUCUUCGUUACAUUUUCAGCUUCAGCCUCUGCAGUUAAGAUGAAAGGGUGGUAUUUGUGCCUUUUUAGGGGAUUGCCUCUUUUUGGAUGAAUUUCUCCUCAGCCUAGGAUGUCAACUGUCUCUUGACGUCCCGGAGUGCUGAGGGCUUUCCUUCAGCAUUUGCUUACAGAGCUUGGUAUAGCUUUAGGAUAUAAGGUGAAGGUUCCUGUAAUAAGGCUGUGCUCUCUUUGUAUCCUGUUUUUUUGCAAGUUGUCUUUACUUUCACUAAAGAAAGGCCUAAGAAGUGAACUGUUAUGGCAUUUUGGCAAACACCAGAUUCGUGUUUGUGCCCGUAGCGUUGGGUAUUGGUUGUCAUUUGGUGAGGAGAUGGAUCUCUGGAGAAAUUGAACUGGGUUGUGAGGUACAGUACAGUAAUAAUGCUGUAACAAUGUAAUGCCAGAUGCAUUUUGCAUUUAAAUGAGGAGUUGGCACUAAAUUGAGACAAUCCUAAGGUACUGGAGGAUGUCUGGGUAAAGAAAAGGGCCAGUGCCUUGAACUCUUGCUAAGCAAUGUGGGUGAUAAAUAAAGGAUUAGAGAGGAAGACAAAGGAUAGCUAGGGCAUGUAUACACAGUUCUCAAUGGGAUUAAUGCAUAAAUCCUGACUGGAUUACAAAUUUGAAUAGACAAGUACCUUUUGAUAUGAAUUGUGUUAUAUGGUAAUACUAGGUUUGCGAAAUAACCUGUGCUGGCAAAGUGCUCUCAUCCAGCACCACUUUCAAGGAUAAAUACAAGAACUGCAGGAUUUCUCAGUGCAGAUUCAUGUUCUGCAAGAUUUGUACUCAAAAAAAUCAGAUGUGAAAGUGUCCGGAAGAACCUUCCUUGAAACAGGACUUGUUUUAUUGUGUAAGGGGAAAUACACGCUAAACUCUGCCAAAGGUUUGGAGAUAUGGAUGUUUCUGAAUAGAAAUCUCUUCACAGAACUCAAAAGCAUUUUUGUAGGAUUGUGAUUCAUUCAAAUUGUCAACUGCCUUCAGUGUCUUUGGUGCCAGUCCUCAUCAUGUGUUUGAAAAAACAGUAAAUGAUAAAAAGGAAAAUAUUACAGUUUGACAUAGUUACUCUGCCAGACAUCAUCUUUUUGCUGCAAGAGAGCUUCAGAGAAUAUUACAAUUCCUCUUCAUUGCUUUCCUUGGAAGUCACUGGACAUGAGAGGUAUGGUAGUUGCAUAUCUCAAACUCACUGCCCAUCAUUUAUUGCUAUAUAAUAAAACUGUGCCACAAACUGCAAUGCUUUUUCCUAAACCAAAAGAUAUUUGACAAGUGUUUGGCAAAGAAGAAAGUUUUGAGGAGUCCUUCACUAAACAAUAAAUUUACAAUAAUUUCCACCUAACACUUUUUUUUUUGCUUGGAAGUACAAUUUCCAUAGUGCAGUGAAAAGACCUAAAGAAUUUGCUGUAUACGGGUUAUAUCUUUAGGGCUCUCAAUGGCAACAAGAGUGAAUUCCAAACCUCUUGGGUGUGACUGCACAGCUGAGGGUGACUCUUUCUGAACUGGGUAAUGCUCUCAUGAAGCAGCAUCCAGUAAAGUGUGCAGAUCUCAUGUGGAAGCAAUAUACAGAAGUGCUGGGACUGAACAGAUGGCUCACAAAUGCAGAAGAAGCUGCAGUCAGCAAAUUCUUAGUAGUUUGCUUCAAGUCUGGUUACAUGACAAAGUUACUGCAAGGCAGGCAGGAGUAUGGAUUUCCAGCAAGUUUAUGAACUUCCAUGUGCACACUCACUGUCCAACAAACCACUCUCAAAGAAUGUACUGACUGCUGAAAUCUAGUUGAACAUGUCUUUAUUAGUGAACUAACCUGGGAACACACAUGAGAAACUCAAUCAUCUACAUGUAAAAUAGCUUGAAUGGUUUCUGACAAGGUUUUGGCCCAUGUGACCAGCAUUCUUUCCAACCAUUCACAGCCCAGGGGUCAUCCCUAUAAAUCAGUGUACAUGGCUACUCUGUUCUGGAGGCUAAGAAAAUUUUAAAGUAUGAAUCCAAGCUCAGCUUUAGAAGGUGAUUCCAAGUGUGUGUAGUUGACAUGGCGGAGCUUGUGCACUGUGGGUAUUGGGUAAUGUCUCACAAGCACUGUCACAAUAGGUCUUCAGACUCUUCAGAUGCUGCAGGUUGUCCCCCUUUGAUCUUAUGGAAGUGUAUCAUCUUUUGUCUAGCCUAAAUAAUAUGCCUGAUAGUAGUCACUCAACACCUUGUUCUUGUGGCUAAAUUUGACUUUACCACAUCCAGGCAGACCCAGUGGCUUCUAUAGCCUCUAUGGACAAAUAUGUUGUCUGUGAAGAACCCUGGUUAGCUGCUAGUUAAUGUAUAAAAAAUAAGGCUCAUAGGGUUCAUGAAAAUGGAAACCUUUGCUAAGUUUUUAAUCAUCUUUCUAAAGGAAUGAUGGUUCACAGUCUAGAGUGAAGCCUUGACAUAGCCCAGAAAGCCAACUGAAUCCUGGGGUGCAUCAAAAGCAGCAUGACCAACAGGGCAAGAGAGGUGUUUCUCCUGCUCUAUUCUGCUUUGGUGAGACCCCACCUGGAGUGCUGCAUCCCUCUCUGGGAUCCUCAGCACAGGAAAAACAUGAACCUGUUACAGUAGGUCCAGAGGAGAGUCAUGAAAAUGAUCACAAGACUGGAACACCUCUCCAGUUAAGGAAGACUGAGGGAGUUAGAGCUGUUUGACCUGGAGAAGAGAAGGCUCCAGGAAGACCUUAUUGUGACUUGGUAAUAUUUGAAGGGGCUUAUAAGAAGGAUGGGGAGAGAUUUUUUAGUAAGACCCGUGGCAAUAGUUCAAGGAGGAAUGGUUUUAAGGUAAAAGGGCGUAGAUUUAGAUAGAUUAAAGUUAAGUUAUUUUUUAUAAUGAGGGUGGUGAGGCACUGGCACAGAUUGCCCAGAAAGAUGGUAGCUUUCCCAUCCCUGAAAACAUUCAAGGUCAAGUUGAAUGGGACUCUGAGCAAACUGAUCUAGUGGAAGAUGUCCCUUAUCGUUGUGGGGAGGUUGGCCUAGAUGGCCUCUCAAAAUCCAUUCUAACCCAAAAGAUUCUGUGAUAUAUUGGCCAUGUUCACCAUGAGGAAAGCUCUUUGGAUUGCUCUGGUUUAAUCUUCUGAGCUUGUGCAAACCCCUCCAUCCCUGUCAAUCCAGUGGAUGAAUAUUUUUAACAGCCGCUGCUCUUUUCUGAUCAAAGGAUGUAGGGCCUGGCAGCAGCAGCAGCGUAUCAUUACCCAUGGAACCUCCUCUUGACUAAAGCUUCUUCUACAUCACCACUUCAAUAUCAUAGAAAUCUUCAUUUGGCCUAACAAUCAAAUCUCUCCUGACUGCAUUAUCUCCACUUCAUUGAUCCAGGAAACAUCAAUUAUUUCUAUUAAACACAAACAGUUUCAAUAGGGAUUUUCUACAUACUCUGCCAAACUUCAGCAUUUUACAUAUAAUCUGUGUUCUAUAAUAUUUUGAUGAUCUUUCCUCUGCUUAUUUGCUCUGUUGAGACCAAGCAUGAAAAAAUGAAAACUGCCUUUUUCACAGCAUCUGCACCACUAGAAAACUCAAAUUAUUUUAAGGAAGUAAAAUUUUCCCAUCCCAAACAUCAGUAAAAGUCCACUUUGUCACAGUAAUAUCCGAAUGAUGAAUGUUCAAGGGCAAAGCUUUGAUUAAUGACAGCUGCAGUUCGGAUUUCACUAAUGGUGAUUUUGUAUCUCCUUCCAGACAGCUGCACACUUACUGCAAGUACCUAACUAGACGUAUUUAUUAUGCUAGUUUGGUUAAAUAGUUGUAUAAAUGAAGCAUAUGGAUACUUGUAUAAUUUGCAUCUGCAGCGUGUGACUAUAAUGUGAAGUAGGCUUCUAGGAGAAGAGUAUCCAUCCUCCUCUUGAGAUAGUCCUAUUUUGUUAAAUUAAGGAGGUCUCUGAUUAGGUUCCAUAGAAAGGAAAUACCAGUCUGUUAAAGGUCCUAGGAGGUGAAGGGAUGCAGUUGUUUUCUAUUCAAAAGCACAUUAAUACACUGAAAGUUGUCCAGUAAUUUCAGCUGCCCUUCCAAUAUGUUGAGUUUAGUAAAAAAUUAGCAAAUUUUGGGUGAGCGUAGCGAACUGUAAAGCAAGUAUACUGCCUUCUAUUGAGUGUUCUCUUUUUUGUAAAUGUGAAAGACUAGUCAGCUGUUGUGCUGAUGGAAUUAUUGUGCAGGAUUGCAACUGUAAAUAGAAUAUUGUGACAACUCGGUGGGAGUAAAGCUGAGGUGAGACUGCUAAAAUGACUGGUUUCACCUGUAAGUUGUUACUGUAAUGUAAUUAAAAUGGUGGUUGUGCAGUGAUUGUUGGGAGCUUAUAUUUUGCAUGCAAGCAAAGCUGUAGAGAAACCAUCAAUCUGAUCCAUAACACAAAUUCUGGCUAUUUUAUUGUACAGAUGUUAUUUCAGCUUUAAGUUUUGUUGCAUGAAAUAAAGUGUGUCUUCCUCCACUUUAUGCCCAGGCAUCUCCUGCAAAAUAGAAACUCCCAUCUCCAUUUCUAUUACUCUUCUCUACCAAUUUCUUUAAAUAUUAGGUUUUUGAAGCUAUCAGUUUGUAAACUAUUUGUUAUUUUAUGCACAAGAUGGAAAGAAAUAUAAUAAGGUUGAUUAUACACAUUGCCAGAUACUAAACAGGUCCUUGAUGUGCUACAUUCCCUGACCUUGUCUCUGCCUGAGCAAGGAUUCCAGCCUUUCUUGGCUUGUCCAUGCUUGCCUCCUCCUUGCCCUUGGUGUUUUCCCCCAUCAUGUACUGUUACCUGCAGCAUAAAUCCAGAUUUACCUUGAGGAAACAGAGCAAGAGUCUCACCACGCAGAAGGAACCUCCCACCAGUUGUUUUGUGUAGUCAGCAGUGUUGCAAUGCAGAGAGAGAUGCACAGACCAAUUUAUGGCUUCAGAAUUAAUUUCUCUUGUGAGUUGUUACUAGCUGGUAAGGUGCAAAAAGCACAUACUCAAACACUCAUUUUUUUUUUGUUUAGGGACUGCAGUCAUGGGGAUAGUAAAAUCCUACAAAGGUGGUGCUAGAGUUUUACACAUCACUGCAGCAAACAAGAAGAUUUUGAGCUAGAGAAAGCACCCUGCUCCCACAUCCUCAGCAGAUUCCAACAAAUUAGUGUUAAUUCUCUCUUUUUCCCUCAUGUGCAUUCUCUUCACAAGCUAAUAAACCAUAGUGGGUGAUAGUGUCUAAAAUGAAAGGAUGUUAAGAAAUAUUUUACUUCCUAUUGUUUAUUAUUCUUUGUGUACCAUACACUGUGCUCCUUAGGACAAGUAAUUAAUGCAGGUGAUGUGGCUUUUGGGGGGAUUACUCUUGAUGGGAUGAUUUGUACCAUACAAAUUUAUUUUUUUUCUUGCUUGACAAGGGCUGGGAACAGCGAGUGAGAGUUGUCACCAGGUGGCACCAUUAACCUAAGUUAUGUUUUGGUGCAGUGAAUGCAAUGAAGUUUGUGUUCAAAAGGAAUUUAGUAGAGAGAUUGCUCUUUUCACCUUCCUUCAAAGUAAACACACAGUACAGAGAAUAGGCCAAAUACUUCUGUUCACUGGCACAUUUUAGAUUAUUUUAUGCAUUUGCAGUACUAUAAUGUGGUGAGGAUUCUUCCCUGCUUUGUGUAUGGUAAGUAAAAUGCAUGCCUAUAUUUCUCCAGAGAACCCUUGCCUGUUUAAGAAUUUUACAGUAUAUUUCACAUCUGGCACAUCCAAAAGUAAAAUUUCCCCUAGUGAAAUCCCAGAACAAGACCAGGGAAUUCUCAAAUAAAAAUACUCAUGUUUAAAUAUUGUUUGAAUGUUUUAAGACUGUUAUUCUGUGAAGUUAAGCAAUAGAAAAUCAAUUUGUCUUACUUACAGUGAGUAGCACCAUGGGCAGUGCAGGGGAGAUGAUGAGCCCCAUCCCCAGCUGCUGUUCAGAAGUGGUAUUGGUGGUGCAGACCCCCUCUGCAUCAGAAUUGCUGCAGCCUCCAUCGCUUGCACUGCUUCUUGGCACUCACAGGGUGGUGUAGCUGUCCUCUGAAGCAAGGAAGAAAACUUUUCCCCUUGCAGACAUUUAAAUAGCUUGAGUUGAAAAGUUAGAGUUUGUUUUGAAAGGGUCAGGUUGCUUUUUAAAUGGCUUUCAGUGAAUUUUAUCAGCUUGAUCCUAAGAUGGAAAACAUCAUGGUGUUUUUUAAUGGGCAGUGAUAUUAACCUAAUGGCAGGAGACUAGGGUGGCCCUUGGGAAACAGCAAAUUCUUGUCUUCUGAUCAGAUAUUAAAGAAAUGCAGACCAUCGACCAGUUCUUUCUGAAUAUGCUGGAAUAUUUAAAGUCAGUGAUGUUUUAGGUAGCAACUCUGGGAUGCUUUAAAGCGCAGUUGUAAGGUGCAGGUUGUAGUUCCUACUUAGCUCAUAAAAGUAAACAAACCAGAGAUUUAUACUUUAAAGGAUUAUUUCAUUAAAUUUUUAUUAGAGUGAAACCAUGAAAUGGAUAUUGUUCAUGUUAACUGUGAAUUGUAAGGUCACAUCAAAGCAAUAGGUUGAUUGUACUGGGCCAUAUGCUCCCAUUUCAGUGAUUUCAAGGGUGUUACUGGGUAGCAUUUUAUUGUACUAAACUGCAAGUCAUACUGUAAUUUAAGUUAUACAUAUUUUAUGUGGGUUUUUUACCUUUGCUUGCUUCUCUGGUCAGCUGUGAAGGUCACUGAUUAUGCAGUCUUUGUGUCAGUGUCCAGUCCUUGUGUUGAACAGAGGCAGUGGUGUCUGUCCUUGGGAAUACUAAAACCUUGAGUGGACUCAGCUCUGAGGAACUUGGUCUAGUUACCCCUCCUUGAGCAGGGAGGUUGGAGUAGGUGUUCUCCAGAACUGCCUUCCAAUCUCUGCUACUCUGGCUCUGUGUCUAGCAGAAGAAAUGUCUUGGCAAACAGAACUUUUGAAUUUCUCUAAUUAAGCCUGUUAAGUGUCCUGUGUGGAAACUGCAGAAUUGUUCUCUCAGGUAGACUCCUUGCUUGUAAAGAUAAGAGCAAUAUUCAGAGCAUUUGGAACGAACAAUUCUUAAAGAGAUUUACAUUUUGCUGCAUUUUUUUAACUGAUGUUUACCAAUUACAAUGCAAUAGACACUUAAAUUCCAAUUUGUCUUCAUCCCCUAGCAAAGCAGAAAGGGUGCAUGGGGAAUCUUUCUAUCAGGUGCUGAUCAGCCAUGGAUUUUUUUUUUUUUUUUAUUAGUUAAUUAGUUGGUUAGGGUUAGAAGGUAGAAAGAUUCAGCAACACAGUAUCUUAAAGAAAAGUGCCAUUAAGGAUCUGGAAAAAAUACUGUCAGUUCUAAACCAUCCUGUGUGUACACUCCAACCUUUUCAAGUUUCAGUGUGCUGACUCAGUGGGCAUUUUACAUAGCAGCAGUAGCAGUAAUAUUGCAACCAUGGUCUAAGGAAGAAAGUGAUGCAUGGCUUGUAGGGAAAACAAGAACAGCCAAGUAGGGUUUUUUUUGACAAAAGAGGGUAUUGCCUGGAAGAGUGUCUCCUUGAUGUUGAUUUUAUUGGUUUAUGUAAUAAAAGGCAAAUGGAAACAGUGAUAUUAUCAAAUGCAUCUGUGGCCCAAUAAAUAUUAUCUUUUUUCACUGUUUGAAGGAUCCAAAUGGGGUGUCAGGAAUAUUACUCCCAAGUCAUGAUAGGACUUGUGUAUUGUUCUUCUGUUUCUCUCACUUAAGUGGGGACAUGGAUGUGGCAGCAAAAAGAACAUAAAUCUGAUGUGUAGGUAUCUUUAUCUAGGAUGCUGCUUUCAGUAGAAUCCUCAGCACUAUAAAGCCUGUUAAUCAUGUCAUAACAUAAAUCCUAAAUUCCUUGGUGUCAUAAAACGCUAGUAAUACUUCAAACCAGUUUUUUUCACUAUUUUCCUUGGGGGGAUAUUUUUGUACUUCCUCUAUGUAUUUCUCCACAUUAUUUCAAAUUUCUGGUUUAAAUUGCUUUGCCUUCUUUUUUUCAUUUUAAUUUUCUGUGGUCAGUAGCAAGUCAUUGAUUUUGUACAGGCAUCAUCUGGAUUUCCAGCAAGUACUGCAAGGACCCGAAUUUUUUCUUGGGUGUGAUGCUGCAGGCAGCUGGCUGUGCUUAUAACUGAUUCUGUUCCUGACAGCUUUAAAUAAUUGCUGUUUGCUUGCCUGCAAGCCUUCACUGAAACUGAAUUUCUUGCACAAGCCCAGAUAUAUCAGGAAAAAUGUGGGCAAAGCAUAUGAAGAAAGCAAUUGAUCCAUCACUGACAGUCUAGCAGUGCGUAAGCAUCUUUCAGCGGCUGGUCAAUGGUGAACAGGGGCAGUUUCAUAAUGGGAGAUUUGAGGUCAGAAUGUCUGUAGGACCUGUAGACCUCCCAUUUGUUUUUCAGAAGUGUAUCUGCACUCAUAUAGACAACCAAUGAAUAGUUUAUAUUUCUUUUUCUGUUAGAAGUUUGCAUUCAGGUUAUUAUUUAUACAAUACUCAUCUACAGUGUAGCAGAACUGACAGGUGGUAGUUUUGACUGGAAUGGAGUAGAUCUGAUUUCAACUAACCAUAAACUUAAACAGGGGCUUUUCAGGAUUCUUCACCUGGAUGAAACUUUUUGUCAGUGACUUUUCUUCUUAAUUUAUUUUUAAAUUAAUUGACAAUAGCUAAAAAUAUUUAUAAGUGGCAUUCAUAUUUGGCAAGGACUGCUGACUGAAAAAUAAUCUUGGAAUAUAUCAGACUGGAAGGGACACAUAAGGCUUGCUGAGUCUAACACCCUGCUUCUCACAAGACUAAAUAAAAUAAACUAAAAUAAAUUAAAAAAAAAAAAAUAAACUGUAUGACUAGGGGCAGCAUCCAGACAUCCUUUCAACUCUGACAGGCUUGGUACUUUGGUCAUAGAAUCACAGUAUCAUAGAAUGUUGAGGGUUUGAAAAAGACCUUAAGGACUAUGUAGUUCCAACACCCCCUGCCAUGGGCAGAGACAGCUUCUACUAGACCAGAGGUUGCUCAAGGCCUUAUCCAAACUGGAUUGGAACUCUACAGCCUCCCUGGCCGACCUGUUCCAGUGCCUUGCCACCCUCGCAGUGAAAAACUUCCUCCUAUUAUCUAAACCCUAAUUUCCCCUCUUUCAAUUUGUAGAUUUCAGUUUCUUUUCUGAAUACCUAUGGGAAAACAUGAAGGCAUUUUAGAUAUAUCUCUGGACUAGGCAGUAGCAGGCUAUUAGUUUCCUAUUUGGGGGAAUGGAGAUGUGUGUAUCCACUUGUUUUCAGUGCAUGGUACUGGCCAAGCUACCAAGUAACUGGAACAGGUUUCCAUUCUGGCUGCUUUCUGAAAUUUGACAUUUCAAUAAUCUCCUCCUCUCUAGGUUAAUGAAUCCAAUUUAACUGAAUUCUGUCAACUACUCUACUCUUUCUCCAAGUAAAGCAAAAUGCAGCAAUGCCUAACUCAUGCUUCUGUACAACAUUUUUUGAAAUAGCUUCAAAAAGAAAGCAACCAGACAUGGAACUACCUCCCACACUUCACUGCCAGCAGCUCUUGCAUGUGAUGUCCUUGGAUGCCCAAAAGAUUAGCCAGUCUCAUCCACCUGGCCCAUGUCCCAGGGAUCAAAGACAUUUCUCCAUCUACAAACUAAAGCUCAUGCUCUCUGAAAGUGAAGAGAACAAAUUGAAAGUUAGAGUCUGAGAAGAUUAAUAGGGACAUCUGACUCUUGAUGGGGACAACAGUCCUCUCAUAUGGCAAUGCAUUAUGAGCAACAAAAAAAGGUUCUUCUACUCUUUGAGUUGAACUUCAGCUAUCAGCCUGCACCCUAGGACUAUUACUGACCACUACAGCGGCAUCACUUGCACCCUGGCACAUUUUGACAUCCAGUAGAACUCAAUACUUCUGCUAUAAAGAAUGUGGGCAUGAAGACCAGCCUGUAUAUUUGUGUCCCUGAAUGUCUUUCACAUGAGAAAAAAUCUGUGUGCUAUUGGAUAAGGUCCUGAAACAUAAUUUAAAAGCAUCACCAGCAGGAAAAACCCAUCUUGAAGUGGGAGAAAGUCUUCUUGAACGUUAUUCAUUUGAAUCAUGGAGCUGUGUAGAAGCAGAUAUUGCGACGAUGCAGCUGAUGUGUGACAGAGUACCAAGUGGACAUUCUUAGAGAAGUCAGUUCUGACUUCCCUAAGUCAUCACUACUCUCUUAGUAGGCCUUAUUUUUUAGGGAAUCACUCAGCAUGUGUAUCAGCUUUCCCAGUCCUAAAUUCUUUUAAGCUGCGUAUUUCUUUCGGAGUGAAAAUUUGUGACUGUGUAGCCCAUGAAUUUCUGUGAAGACAUCGAAGCCACAAAGACAUCGAAGCCACAUUCCUCACUUUUAAGGGACUGGUGUGGUGGCACACAGGAGUCUAAUGUUCCAUGCAAUUUAAGAUUUUCCACUUUAUUGAAGAAAUAAUUCUGUUUGUAGUUUUAUGAACUUGUAGUCUUGAAUACACAGUACUGCAGGUCACAAUUUUAUCUAUAGGCUGUUCCAUCUUAAGUGAAGAAACACUAUAUGUUGUUAAAACCCUGAUCUCCAAGAGUUUGUAAAAAAAAAAAAAAUGUUUGACUUUAAAUGUAAUUUUUAAAAGUUGAAUAUUUAUUAUUAAAAUUUCUUU
This is a long non-coding RNA of Motacilla alba alba, 27027 nucleotides long. RefSeq lists it as uncharacterized. The transcript has 4 exons. The record is from RefSeq and is a predicted model, not a curated record. NCBI's taxonomy places the organism in Eukaryota, Metazoa, Chordata, Aves, Passeriformes, Motacillidae.